RNAcentral lists this ribosomal RNA (447 nucleotides) under uncultured bacterium. Its description in RNAcentral is "bacterial SSU rRNA". It matches the Rfam family "Bacterial small subunit ribosomal RNA", at positions 355 to 825 of the family's 1533-position model. The record is from RNAcentral.
UCGGGAAUUUUGGGCAAUGGGCGAAAGCCUGACCCAGCAACGCCGCGUGAAGGAUGAAGUAUUUCGGUAUGUAAACUUCGAAAGAAUAGGAAGAAUAAAUGACGGUACUAUUUAUAAGGUCCGGCUAACUACGUGCCAGCAGCCGCGGUAAUACGUAGGGACCAAGCGUUGUUCGGAUUUACUGGGCGUAAAGGGCGCGUAGGCGGCAAUUCAAGUCAUCUGUGAAAUCUCCGGGCUUAACUCGGAACGGUCAGAUGAUACUGCUUUGCUAGAGUGCAGAAGGGGCAAUCGGAAUUCUUGGUGUAGCGGUGAAAUGCGUAGAUAUCAAGAGGAACACCUGAGGUGAAGACGGGUUGCUGGGCUGACACUGACGCUGAGGCACGAAAGCCAGGGGAGCAAACGGGAUUAGAUACCCAAGUAGUCCCUGAGCGGGCUGGCAAGGCGCAU